Molecule: non-coding RNA, 214 nt
Filed under: Bacteroidota bacterium
Lineage: Bacteria; Pseudomonadati; Bacteroidota
Source: RNAcentral
UUAUCUUUGUUCCGUAUUGGUGUUGCACCGAAAUAAAAUCAGUGCAAUGAAAAGGGAAUGCGGUGUGAAUCCGCGACAGUACCCGCUGCUGUGAUGCCCGAUCGUUCUAACGAUGAUGGUUUUAUGAUAACCUGCCACUGUUCCGCGCAGCGGAAUGGGAAGGCUUCAUAAGGCCGGGACAAGUCAGAAGACCUGCCAGACAAACCAUAUUCAA